RNAcentral lists this ribosomal RNA (253 nucleotides) under uncultured bacterium. RNAcentral's name for it is "partial 16S ribosomal RNA". It matches the Rfam family "Bacterial small subunit ribosomal RNA", at positions 524 to 776 of the family's 1533-position model. The record is from RNAcentral.
UACGAAGGGGGCUAGCGUUGCUCGGAAUGACUGGGCGUAAAGGGCGCGUAGGCGGAUGGCACAGUCAGAUGUGAAAUUCCCGGGCUUAACCUGGGGGCUGCAUUUGAUACGUGUUGUCUAGAGUGAGGAAGAGGGUUGUGGAAUUCCCAGUGUAGAGGUGAAAUUCGUAGAUAUUGGGAAGAACACCGGUGGCGAAGGCGGCAACCUGGUCCUUGACUGACGCUGAGGUGCGAGAGCGUGGGGAGCGAACCGG